UAUAUUUUAGUAUUUGAUGUACAGUAUUUUUUGAUAAUUCUAGGGAUGGUUUAAUUCCAUCAAAUAUAA
Molecule: transfer RNA, 69 nt
Filed under: Sambus femoralis
Lineage: Eukaryota; Metazoa; Arthropoda; Insecta; Coleoptera; Buprestidae
Description: tRNA-Gln
Source: RNAcentral